CCGAGCAACGCCGCGUGAGUGAAGAAGGUUUUCGGAUCGUAAAGCUCUGUUGUAAGUCAAGAACGGGUGUGAGAGUGGAAAGUUCACACUGUGACGGUAGCUUACCAGAAAGGGACGGCUAACUACGUGCCAGCAGCCGCGGUAAUACGUAGGUCCCGAGCGUUGUCCGGAUUUAUUGGGCGUAAAGCGAGCGCAGGCGGUUUGAUAAGUCUGAAGUUAAAGGCUGUGGCUCAACCAUAGUUCGCUUUGGAAACUGUCAAACUUGAGUGCAGAAGGGGAGAGUGGAAUUCCAUGUGUAGCGGUGAAAUGCGUAGAUAUAUGGAGGAACACCGGUGGCGAAAGCGGCUCUCUGGUCUGUAACUGACGCUGAGGCUCGAAAGCGUGGGGAGCGAACAGGAUUAGAUACCCUGGUAGUCCACGCCGUAAACGAUGAGUGCUAGGUGUUGGAUCCUUUCCGGGAUUCAGUGCCGAAGCUAACGCAUUAAGCACUCCGCCUGGGGAGUACGACCGCAAGGUUGAAACUCAAAGGAAUUGACGGGGGCCCGCACAAGCGGUGGAGCAUGUGGUUUAAUUCGAAGCAACGCGAAGAACCUUACCAGGUCUUGACAUCCCGAUGCUAUUUCUAGAGAUAGAAAGUUACUUCGGUACAUCGGUGACAGGUGGUGCAUGGUUGUCGUCAGCUCGUGUCGUGAGAUGUUGGGUUAAGUCCCGCAACGAGCGCAACCCCUAUUGUUAGUUGCCAUCAUUCAGUUGGGCACUCUAGCGAGACUGCCGGUAAUAAACCGGAGGAAGGUGGGGAUGACGUCAAAUCAUCAUGCCCCUUAUGACCUGGGCUACACACGUGCUACAAUGGUUGGUACAACGAGUUGCGAGUCGGUGACGGCGAGCUAAUCUCUUAAAGCCAAUCUCAGUUCGGAUUGUAGGCUGCAACUCGCCUACAUGAAGUCGGAAUCGCUAGUAAUCGCGGAUCAGCACGCCGCGGUGAAUACGUUCCCGGGCCUUGUACACACCGCCCGUCACACCACGAGAGUUUGUAACACCCGAAGUCGGUGAGGUAACCUUUU
Molecule: ribosomal RNA, 1064 nt
Filed under: uncultured Streptococcus sp.
Lineage: Bacteria; Bacillati; Bacillota; Bacilli; Lactobacillales; Streptococcaceae
Description: bacterial SSU rRNA
Rfam family: Bacterial small subunit ribosomal RNA
Source: RNAcentral